UACGUAGGGUGCGAGCGUUAAUCGGAAUUACUGGGCGUAAAGCGUGCGCAGGCGGUUGUGUAAGACAGGUGUGAAAUCCCCGGGCUUAACCUGGGAACUGCGCUUGUGACUGCACGGCUAGAGUACGGCAGAGGGGGGUGGAAUUCCACGUGUAGCAGUGAAAUGCGUAGAUAUGUGGAGGAACACCGAUGGCGAAGGCAGCCCCUGGGCCGAUACUGACGCUCAUGCACGAAAGCGUGGGGAGCAAACAGGAUUAGAAACCCUGGUAGU
This 270-nucleotide ribosomal RNA is filed under the name uncultured bacterium. RNAcentral describes it as "partial 16S ribosomal RNA". It matches the Rfam family "Bacterial small subunit ribosomal RNA", at positions 524 to 794 of the family's 1533-position model. The record is from RNAcentral.